This is a long non-coding RNA of Strigops habroptila (Kakapo), 2402 nucleotides long. NCBI's taxonomy places the organism in Eukaryota, Metazoa, Chordata, Aves, Psittaciformes, Psittacidae. The record is from Ensembl.
GGAAAUAAGUUUGUUUAUUGCCAAUCAAAUCAGAGUAGGAUAAUGAGAAAAAAACAAAUCUUGAAACACCUUUCUCUCACCCCUCCCUCCUUCCUAGGCUUAAUUUCACUCACGAUUUCUCUACUUCCUCACCCCAGAGUGGCUCAGGGGGACGGGGAAUGUGGGUUUUGGUCAGCUCAUCACACGUCUCUGCCAGUCCUUCCUCCUCAGCGGAGGACACCUCACACUCUUCCCCUCCUCCAGCUUGGGGUUUCUCCCACAGGUGAGAGCCGCUCCCACUGGCUGCAAUUCUUCACACACUGCUGCAGCGUGGGCCUCUUCCACAGGGUGCAGUCCUUCAGGACCAGACUGCUCCAGCGUGGGCCUCCUGUGAGGUCACCAGUCCUGCAGCAAACCUGCUCCAGUGUGGGCUCCUCUCUCCACGGGGUCACAGGUCCUGCCAAGAGCCUGCCCCAGCGCAGGCUUCCCAUGGCGUCACUACUUCCUUCAGGCAUUGCCCUGCUUCUGUGUGGGGUCUUUUACGGGCUGCAGGUGGAGAUCUGCUCCACCAUGGACCUCCAUGGGCUGCAGGGGGACAUGGAGUCUGCAGAGCUGUUACUCUCAUAUAUUGUCACUCCUGCUGCAAUUGCUUUUGUGCAGGUUUCUUUUUCCCCUUAAAUAUGUUAUCCCAGAGGCACUACCAGUGGUGGUGUUGGGCUCAGCCUUGGCCAGCAGCAGGUCCAUCUUGGAGCCAGCUGGCAUUGGCUCUGUCAGACACAAAGGAAGCUCCUAUCAACCCUUUAGUUCCCCUUGCUACCAAAACCUUGCCAUGCAAACUCAAUACAGUAUUGGUAAAAUUUUGAUACAUCAGAAAAGACGACGAACAGGCAACAAGACUGUGUAGUAACUGUCCUGCAUAUAUUUCACUGAAUUUGAGAACCUUCAUCGAAGAAUAUGGAGGUAAGGACAUGGCCUCCAUUUGUGCCAUACUGAUGCUGACUAAUCCUGUUAUCUUUGGGGAAAUCAGAUCUCACAAAGCAUACUGGUUUCAGAAACCUUAGGCCUUCUGCAAUAAAUAAUAUUGGAAAUCUAUUUUUACUUUCCACAUGGAUGAGUCUGUUCUUAGGCUAUUUCUGAUUGUGUAAGACACAAAUAAGAUUUUUCUUUAAUUUGAAGCAUGACUGCCUUUUGCAAUGAUCUUUUCCUUAAAAAAAAAAAAGAACAAAUUAAUUGUGGUUAUGACAGACACAACACACAUACAUUCUGGCUCUUAAGGAGAUAAAAUAUCUGAAACCUCUCUCUCCUGCUCUUUACUCUUCUAUUUAUAAAGACAGCAAGUAGCUACUGGCUCCCAAAGCUGAAGUGUAAAAGCAGUGUGAAUUCCCUUGGUUUUAAUGGCAACUGUACAUACAAUUUCAUACUUUGCUUCAGCAGUUUUUUCAUUAAUAUCCAAGGACCUGGAUGUUACACUUUAUAGUAAUUAUUUUUGAUGUUUUUAAACCUCCUCAUCUAGCUAUUUUUUUGGACCAGUCCUGCUUCUUUACGGAAGACAGCACAUUCGUUUUUAGCCCAUCAGACUAAAUCAUGUUAAAGGAACUUCUGCACUUCAGGGUGUUCAAUCAUGGUAAGAUCAAACUAAGAAUCAAACAUCUGGUGGUAGACAAGACAUACAUUCUGGGCUUUCUCAAGCCUGAAUAUUUUUAUAAAGCUGAGGUGAUACAUGGUAAUUGGAAUUAUUAGGAAACAAUUGAUUAAGAAGCAGUAGUUUAAAUGCGUGCAAAAUCUAAAUACUCAUUAACAGUGUUGAAGGAGACAUGCAAAAAGGCAGAAACAAGACAUAUUUAUUCCAUAGCAGAAUAAUCUUCAGCAGUCUGCAAAAGUAGCAUUAGUCCCCUUCAUGAUUCUUCAAAACAGAAGUAGCCUAUUGCACUUUGAUAGUAAGCUCUCGCUCGCAUUCUUUCUAAAAAAAGGUCUUGUGUAGCAGCAGAUAUUUGACCGCCAAUUCACAUUUAAAACUAGCAUCUGUAUAACUAAGAGCAGAUGUCACUACAGGCAAGUAGUCUGUAAUAACAGAUUUCAGCACUCUGUGGACUGGGCACAGAGGGCAUGCAUGACAAAUACCUGAGCAGUCACUCACUUUAGAAGCCUGAUGUGAUAAGACAGUGGAAACCUGCAGCUGCUCUGCUACAGCAGGAAUACUUUGAACAUGCUUGCUCUGUCUAUAAUAGUGAUCCAUUAUACAAUACUAGUAUUGACAGUUGAUACAUUAUGAAUGAGCAACCUGCUUAAAUUCUCUCUCUUCCACAUGUUCCAAUAUACGCAUUUUAGAGGACUACUUGAAAUCCUAUUUUAUGGGCACAACUUCUAACAAAGGUAAAAUAAGCCUGUUAAUUAAAUACAACUUUCUCAACUAAUGCUACUAG